CGAGGCCCCUCGCAAAGUCUCGCCCCAUUCCGAGUCUGGCGGACGAACUUCGCCCGCGCCCCCCACCAAGGCUAUAGCCCACCCGUUUUUUGGCCAUUUUUCCGCUGGGGGGUUUUGGCACUACGACCUUCGGGCCCUUAUUUUUGGAUGCGGCUGUGCCUGCGACUUCCCGCAGGCACCCCGAGGCCCCUCGCAAAGUCUCGCCCCAUUCCGAGUCCGGCGGACGAACUUCGCCCGCGCCCCCCACCAAGGCUAUAGCCCACCCGUUUUUUGGCCAUUUUUCCGCUGGGGGGUUUUGGCACCACGACUUUCGGGCGCUUAUUUCUGGACGCGGCUGUGCCAGUGACUUCCCGCGGGCACCCCGAGGCCCCUCGCAAAGUCUCGCCCCAUUCCGAGUCCGGCGGACGAACUUCGCCCGCGCCCCCCACCAAGGCUAUAGCCCACCCGUUUUUUGGCCAUUUUUCCGCUGGGGGGUUUUGGCACCACGACCUUCAGGCGCUUAUUUUUGGGCUCGGCUGUGGCCGCGACAUCCCGCGGGCACCCCGAGGACCCUCGCAAAGUCUCUCCCCAUUCCGAGUCCGGCGGACGAACUUCGCCCGCGCCCCCCACCAAGGCUAUAGCCCACCCGUUUUUUGGCCAUUUUUCCGCUGGGGGGUUUUGGCACCACGAACUUCGGGCGCUUAUUUCUGGACGCGGCUGUGCCCGCGACUUCCCGCUGGCACCCCGAGGCCCCUCGCAAAGUCUCGCCCCAUUUCGAGUCCGGCGGACGAACUUCGCCCGCGCCCCCCACCAAGGCUAUAGCCCACCCGUUUUUUGGCCAUUUUUCCGCUGGGGGGUUUUGGCACCACGACCUUCGGGCGCUUAUUUUUGGGCGCGGCUUUGCCCGCGGCUUAUUUUUGGCACCCCGAGGCCCCUCGCAAAGUCUCGCCCCAUUCCGAGUCCGGCGGACGAACUUCACCCGCGCCCCCCACCAAGGCUAUAGCCCACCCGUUUUUUGGCCAUUUUUCCGCUGGGGGGUUUUGGCACCACCACCUUCGGGCACCUAUUUUUGGACGCGGCUGUGCCCGCGACUUCCCGCGGGCACCCCGAGGCCCCUCGCAAAGUCUCGCCCCAUUCCGAGUCCGGCGGACGAACUUCGCCCGCGCCCCCCACCAAGGCUAUAGCCCACCCGUUUUUUGGCCAUUUUUCCGCUGGGGGGUUUUGGCACCACGACCUUCAGGCGCUUAUUUUUGGGCUCGGCUGUGGCCGCGACAUCCCGCGGGCACCCCGAGGCCCCUCGCAAAGUCUCUCCCCAUUCCGAGUCCGGCGGACGAACUUCGCCCGCGCCCCCCACCAAGGCUAUAGCCCACCCGUUUUUUGGCCAUUUUUCCGAUGGGGGGUUUUGGCACCACGACCUUCGGGUGCUUAUUUUUGGACGCGGCUGUGCCCGCGACUUCCCGCGGGCACCCCGAGGCCCCUCGCAGAGUCUCGCCCCAUUCCGAGUCUGGCGGACAAACUUCGCCCGCGCCCCCCACCAAGGCUAUAGCCCACCCGUUUUUUGGCCAUUUUUCCGCAGGGGGGUUUUGGCACCACGACCUUCGGGUGCUUAUUUUUGGGCGCGGCUUUGCCCGCGGCUUAUUUUUGGCACCCCGAGGCCCCUCGCAAAGUCUCGCCCCAUUCCGAGUCUGGCGGACGAACUUCGCCCGCGCCCCCCACUAAGGCUAUAGCCCACCCGUUUUUGGGCCAUUUUUCCGCUGGGGGGUUUUGGCACCACGACCUUCGGGCGCUUAUUUUUGGACGCGGCUGUGCCCGUGACUUCCCGCGGGCACCCCGAGGCCCCUCGCAAAGUCUCGCCCCAUUCCGAGUCCGGCGGACGAACUUCGCCCGCGCCCCCCACCAAGGCUAUAGCCCACCCGUUUUUUGGCCAUUUUUCCGCUGGGGGGUUUUGGCACCACGACCUUCAGGCGCUUAUUUUUGGGCUCGGCUGUGGCCGCGACAUCCCGCGGGCACCCCGAGGACCCUCGCAAAGUCUCUCCCCAUUCCGAGUCCGGCGGACGAACUUCGCCCGCGCCCCCCACCAAGGCUAUAGCCCACCCGUUUUUUGGCCAUUUUUCCGCUGGGGGGUUUUGGCACCACGAACUUCGGGCGCUUAUUUCUGGACGCGGCUGUGCCCGCGACUUCCCGCGGGCACCCCGAGGCCCCUCGCAAAGUCUCGCCCCAUUUCGAGUCCGGCGGACGAACUUCGCCCGCGCCCCCCACCAAGGCUAUAGCCCACCCGUUUUUUGGCCAUUUUUCCGCUGGGGGGUUUUGGCACCACGACCUUCGGGCGCUUAUUUUUGGGCGCGGCUUUGCCCGCGGAUUAUUUUUGGCACCCCGAGGCCCCUCGCAAAGUCUCGCCCCAUUCCGAGUCUGGCGGACGAACUUCGCCCGCGCCCCCCACCAUGGCUAUAGCCCACCCGUUUUUUGGCCAUUUUUCCGCUGGGGGGUUUUGGCACCACGACCUUCGGGCACUUAUUUUUGGACGCGGCUGUGCCCGCGACUUCCCGCGGGCACCCCGAGGCCCCUCGCAAAGUCUCGCCCCAUUCCGAGUCCGGCGGACGAACUUCGCCCGCGCCCCCCACCAAGGCUAUAGCCCACCCGUUUUUUGGCCAUUUUUCCGCUGGGGGGUUUUGGCACCACGACCUUCAGGCGCUUAUUUUUGGGCUCGGCUGUGGCCGCGACAUCCCGCGCGCACCCCGAGGCCCCUCGCAAAGUCUCUCCCCAUUCCGAGUCCGGCGGACGAACUUCGCCCGCGCCCCCCACCAAGGCUAUAGCCCACCCAUUUUUUGGCCAUUUUUCCGCAGGGGGGUUUUGGCACCACGACCUUCGGGCGCUUAUUUUUGGGCGCGGCUUUGCCCGCGGCUUAUUUUUGGCGCCCCGAGGCCCCGCGCAAAGUCUCUCCCAUUCCGAGUCCGGCGGACGAACUUCGCCCGCGCCCCCCACCAAGGCUAUAGCCCACCCGUUUUUUGGCCAUUUUUCCGCUGGGGGGUUUUGCACCACGACCU
Molecule: long non-coding RNA, 3023 nt
Filed under: Citrus x clementina
Lineage: Eukaryota; Viridiplantae; Streptophyta; Magnoliopsida; Sapindales; Rutaceae
Description: Citrus clementina (C. clementina) long non-coding RNA (CCLE_LNC005845)
Source: RNAcentral